UGUCGGAAAAGUCGUUAUAAU
RNAcentral lists this non-coding RNA (21 nucleotides) under Caenorhabditis elegans. Lineage: Eukaryota; Metazoa; Nematoda; Chromadorea; Rhabditida; Rhabditidae. The record is from RNAcentral.